Molecule: long non-coding RNA, 281 nt
Filed under: Solanum tuberosum (potato)
Lineage: Eukaryota; Viridiplantae; Streptophyta; Magnoliopsida; Solanales; Solanaceae
Description: long non-coding RNA (STUB_LNC006873)
Source: RNAcentral
GAGACUGGAAUGAUUAGAUAGAACUAGUCAAGGGAGUUUAAUUUUUUGGGGUUUCAUUGUGUAUACAAAGUUCAAUUGCCUCUUUUUCUGUGUUUGUUUACUCGAGUGUCUUUCGGUCUCAGACCUCAAUUGUGGGAUUAGACUGAGUUUUUUGUUAUUGUUGUUGAUUGUGCAUACAAAGUUUUAUCUCAGCAUCAAUGCUAUUUCCCUUUCAAUUGUUAGUUCAAAAAGGCACAUGGUUUGUUUUGGGUGUUUUGAAGGCUGUAAAGUGUAUGUGAUGG